AGAACGAACGCUGGCGGCAUGCCUAACACAUGCAAGUCGAACGAGACCUUCGGGUCUAGUGGCGCACGGGCGCGUAACGCGUGGGAAUCUGCCCUUAGGUACGGAAUAACAGUGAGAAAUUACUGCUAAUACCGUAUGAUGUCUUCGGACCAAAGAUUUAUCGCCUAGGGAUGAGCCCGCGUUGGAUUAGCUAGUUGGUGGGGUAAAGGCCUACCAAGGCGACGAUCCAUAGCUGGUCUGAGAGGAUGAUCAGCCACACUGGGACUGAGACACGGCCCAGACUCCUACGGGAGGCAGCAGUGGGGAAUAUUGGACAAUGGGCGAAAGCCUGAUCCAGCAAUGCCGCGUGAGUGAAGAAGGCCUUCGGGUUGUAAAGCUCUUUUACCCGGGAAGAUAAUGACUGGUACCGGGAGAAUAAGCCCCGGCUAACUCCGUGCCAGCAGCCGC
RNAcentral lists this ribosomal RNA (447 nucleotides) under uncultured bacterium. RNAcentral describes it as "SSU rRNA". It matches the Rfam family "Bacterial small subunit ribosomal RNA", at positions 26 to 518 of the family's 1533-position model. The record is from RNAcentral.